CCUACGGGAGGCAGCAGUAGGGAAUAUUGCUCAAUGGGGGAAACCCUGAAGCAGCAAAGCCGCGUGGAGGAUGAAGGUUUUCGGAUUGUAAAAUCCUUUUGUUAGAGAAGAAAAUGACGGUAUCUAACGAAUAAGCACUGGCUAACUCCGUGCAAGCAGCCGCGGUAAUACGGAGGGUGCAAGCGUUACACGGAGUCACUGGGCUUAAAGAGCGCGUAGGCGGGUAAGUAAGUCAGAUGUGAAAGCUUAUGGCUUAACCAUAGAACUGGAUUUGAAACUGUUAGUCUAGAGUAUGUGAGAGGUAGGUGGAAUUCGUGGUGUAGCGGUUAAAUGCGUAGAGAUCAAGCGGAAUACUCAUUGCGAAGGCAACCUACUAAAACAUAACUGACGCUGAUGCGCGAAAGCGUGGGGAGCAAACAGGAUUAGAUACCCGUGUAGUC
This 440-nucleotide ribosomal RNA is filed under the name uncultured bacterium. RNAcentral's name for it is "partial 16S ribosomal RNA". It matches the Rfam family "Bacterial small subunit ribosomal RNA", at positions 338 to 795 of the family's 1533-position model. The record is from RNAcentral.